Molecule: ribosomal RNA, 443 nt
Filed under: uncultured Alteromonadaceae bacterium
Lineage: Bacteria; Pseudomonadati; Pseudomonadota; Gammaproteobacteria; Alteromonadales; Alteromonadaceae
Description: bacterial SSU rRNA
Rfam family: Bacterial small subunit ribosomal RNA
Source: RNAcentral
UCCGCACGAGCGCACCCUUGUCCUUAGUUGCCAGCAUUCAGUUGGGCACUCUAAGGAGACUGCCGGUGACAAACCGGAGGAAGGUGGGGACGACGUCAAGUCACCAUGGCCCUUACGUGUAGGGCUACACACGUGCUACAAUGGCAUUUACAGAGGGAAGCGAGACAGUGAUGUGGAGCGGACCCCUUAAAGAAUGUCGUAGUCCGGAUUGGAGUCUGCAACUCGACUCCACGAAGUCGGAAUCGCUAGUAAUCGCAGGUCAGAAUACUGCGGUGAAUACGUUCCCGGGCCUUGUACACACCGCCCGUCACACCAUGGGAGUGGGAUGCAAAAGAAGUAGUUAGUCUAACCUUCGGGAGGACGAUUACCACUUUGUGUUUCAUGACUGGGGUGAAGUCGUAACAAGGUAACCCUAGGGGAACCUGGGGUUGGAUCACCUCCUU